RNAcentral lists this ribosomal RNA (460 nucleotides) under uncultured bacterium. RNAcentral describes it as "partial 16S ribosomal RNA". It matches the Rfam family "Bacterial small subunit ribosomal RNA", at positions 338 to 795 of the family's 1533-position model. The record is from RNAcentral.
CCUACGGGCGGCAGCAGUGAGGAAUAUUGGUCAAUGGACGAGAGUCUGAACCAGCCAAGUAGCGUGAAGGAUGACUGCCCUAUGGGUUGUAAACUUCUUUUAUAUGGGAAUAAAAUGUUCCACGUGUGGGAUUUUGUAUGUACCAUAUGAAUAAGGAUCGGCUAACUCCGUGCCAGCAGCCGCGGUAAUACGGAGGAUCCGAGCGUUAUCCGGAUUUAUUGGGUUUAAAGGGAGCGUAGGUGGAUUGUUAAGUCAGUUGUGAAAGUUUGCGGCUCAACCGUAAAAUUGCAGUUGAAACUGGCAGUCUUGAGUACAGUAGAGGUGGGCGGAAUUCGUGGUGUAGCGGUGAAAUGCUUAGAUAUCACGAAGAACUCCGAUUGCGAAGGCAGUUCACUGGACUGUAACUGACACUGAGGCUCGAAAGUGUGGGUAUCAAACAGGAUUAGAUACCCCAGUAGUC